CGCCCGUCACACCACGAGAGUGGGUAAUGCCAGAAGUAGGUAGCUUAACCGUAAGGAGAGCGCUUCCCAAGGUAGGACUCGCGAUUGGGGUGAAGUCGUAACAAGGUAUCCCUACGGGAACGUGGGGAUGGAUCACCUCCUUUCUAUGGAGUUAAAAUUUAUAAAAGCAGAGUGAAACUGCUUUGACUAUUCUUGUUCCAUUUAGUUUUCAGAGGUUAUUAAUUUAAUCUCUGAAAAGAUUGUUCUUUGAAAACUGAAUAUUAGAUGAAAUUAUUGAUUCAUAUUUAUAUGGAUCAAUAAAUUAACAAUUUUCUGUUAAUAAUCGUAAGAUUAUUUAACACAAAUUUGACAUCAGUUAUAAAAAACUAAAAUUUUUAUAUUACAAAUAUAUGUUAUAAAUUGCAAAUAGAUUUUUUCUAAAAAAUAGUAAGAGCAUAUGGUGAAUGCCUUGGAAAAUGGAGCCGAAGAAGGACGUGACUACCUGCGAAAAGCAUCGGGGAGCUGGAAGUGAGCUUAGAUCCGGUGAUGUCCGAAUGGGGAAACCCAGUACGAUUAAUCUCGUAUUAUCCAUAACUGAAUACGUAGGUUAUGAGAAGGGAACCUUGGGAACUGAAACAUCUUAGUACCAAGAGGAAAAUAAAAUAAAUAAUGAUUCUGUUAGUAGCGGCGAGCGAAAGCGGAACAGGCCAAACCAGUCUACGGGCUGGGGUUGUAGGACUUUAGUUAGAGUUACAAAAUUGCUGUAUAGUAGAAGCUACUGGGAAGUAGUGCCAUAGAGGGUGAUAGCCCCGUAUACGAAAUGCAGUGAUCUCGAAGAAGUAUCCUGAGUACGGCGAAACACGUGAAAUUUUGUCGGAAUCUGCCGGGACCACCCGGUAAGCCUAAAUACUCCCAUUUUACCGAUAGUGAACCA
Molecule: small RNA, 913 nt
Filed under: Mesoplasma photuris
Lineage: Bacteria; Bacillati; Mycoplasmatota; Mollicutes; Entomoplasmatales; Entomoplasmataceae
Description: bacterial LSU rRNA
Rfam family: Bacterial large subunit ribosomal RNA (bases 417-913)
Source: RNAcentral